UGCAAGUCGCACGCGAAAGGGGGCAACCCUGAGUAGAGUGGCGGACGGGUGAGAAACGCGUAGGAAUAUACCUGGUAGUGGGGGACAACCCGGUGAAAACCGGGCUAAUACCGCAUACGAUCCACGGAUGAAAGCAGGGGACCGCAAGGCCUUGCGCUAUCAGAUUAGCCUGCGUCGGAUUAGCUAGUUGGUGAGGUAACGGCUCACCAAGGCGACGAUCCGUAGCUGGUUUGAGAGAACGACCAGCCACACCGGAACUGAGACACGGUCCGGACUCCUACGGGAGGCAGCAGUGGGGAAUAUUGGACAAUGGGGGCAACCCUGAUCCAGCAAUGCCGCGUGUGUGAAGAAGGCCUUCGGGUUGUAAAGCACUUUCGGUGGGGAAAAACAAGGCGGAGCUAACAUCUCCGUCCCUGAUGGUACCCAAAGAAGAAGCACCGGCUAACUCUGUGCCAGCAGCCGCGGUAAUACAGAGGGUGCAAGCGUUAAUCGGAAUUACUGGGCGUAAAGGGUGCGUAGGUGGUUUGUUAAGUCAGGCGUGAAAUCCUCGGGCUCAACCUGGGAACUGCGUUUGAUACUGGCAGACUCGAGUGUGGUAGAGGAUAGUGGAAUUCCCGGUGUAGCGGUGAAAUGCGUAGAUAUCGGGAGGAAUAUCAGUGGCGAAGGCGGCUAUCUGGACUAACACUGACACUGAGGCACGAAAGCGUGGGUAGCAAACAGGAUUAGAUACCCUGGUAGUCCACGCCCUA
RNAcentral lists this ribosomal RNA (749 nucleotides) under uncultured Gammaproteobacteria bacterium. RNAcentral describes it as "bacterial SSU rRNA". It matches the Rfam family "Bacterial small subunit ribosomal RNA", at positions 56 to 804 of the family's 1533-position model. Lineage: Bacteria; Pseudomonadati; Pseudomonadota; Gammaproteobacteria. The record is from RNAcentral.